Molecule: ribosomal RNA, 497 nt
Filed under: uncultured bacterium
Lineage: Bacteria
Description: partial 16S ribosomal RNA
Rfam family: Bacterial small subunit ribosomal RNA
Source: RNAcentral
GAUGAACGCUGGCGGCGUGCCUAAUACAUGCAAGUCGAGCGAACGGACGAGAAGCUUGCUUCUCUGAUGUUAGUGGCGGACGGGUGAGUAACACGUGGAUAACCUACCUAUAAGACUGGGAUAACUUCGGGAAACCGGAGCUAAUACCGGAUAAUAUUUUGAACCGCAUGGUUCAAAAGUGAAAGACGGUCUUGCGGUCACUUAUAGAUUGAUCCGCGCUGCAUUAGCUAGUUGGUAAGGUAACGGCUUACCAAGGCAACGAUGCAUAGCCGACCUGAGAGGAUGAUCAGCCACACUGGAACUGAGACACGGUCCAGACUCCUACAGGAGGCAGCAGUAGGGAAUCUUCCGCAAUGGGCGAAAGCCUGACGGAGCAACGCCGCGUGAGUGAUGAAGGUCUUCGGAUCGUAAAACUCUGUUAUUAGGGAAGAACAUAUGUGUAAGUAACUGUGCACAUCUUGACGGUACCUAAUCAGAAAGCCACGGCUAACUACGUG